AAGCUAUUUAGGUAGCGCCUCGUGAAUUCAUCUCCGGGGGUAGAGCACUGUUUCGGCAAGGGGGUCAUCCCGACUUACCAACCCGAUGCAAACUGCGAAUACCGGAGAAUGUUAUCACGGGAGACACACGGCGGGUGCUAACGUCCGUCGUGAAGAGGGAAACAACCCAGACCGCCAGCUAAGGUCCCAAAGUCAUGGUUAAGUGGGAAACGAUGUGGGAAGGCCCAGACAGCCAGGAUGUUGGCUUAGAAGCAGCCAUCAUUUAAAGAAAGCGUAAUAGCUCACUGGUCGAGUCGGCCUGCGCGGAAGAUGUAACGGGGCUAAACCAUGCACCGAAGCUGCGGCAGCGACGCUGAUGCGUUGUUGGGUAGGGGAGCGUUCUGUAAGCCUGUGAAGGUGUGCUGUGAGGCAUGCUGGAGGUAUCAGAAGUGCGAAUGCUGACAUAAGUAACGAUAAAGCGGGUGAAAAGCCCGCUCGCCGGAAGACCAAGGGUUCCUGUCCAACGUUAAUCGGGGCAGGGUGAGUCGACCCCUAAGGCGAGGCCGAAAGGCGUAGUCGAUGGGAAACAGGUUAAUAUUCCUGUACUUGGUGUUACUGCGAAGGGGGGACGGAGAAGGCUAUGUUGGCCGGGCGACGGUUGUCCCGGUUUAAGCGUGUAGGCUGGUUUUCCAGGCAAAUCCGGAAAACUAAGGCUGAGGCGUGAUGACGAGGCACUACGGUGCUGAAGCAACAAAUGCCCUGCUUCCAGGAAAAGCCUCUAAGCAUCAGGUAACAUCAAAUCGUACCCCAAACCGACACAGGUGGUCAGGUAGAGAAUACCAAGGCGCUUGAGAGAACUCGGGUGAAGGAACUAGGCAAAAUGGUGCCGUAACUUCGGGAGAAGGCACGCUGAUAUGUAGGUGAAGUCCCUCGCGGAUGGAGCUGAAAUCAGUCGAAGAUACCAGCUGGCUGCAACUGUUUAUUAAAAACACAGCACUGUGCAAACACGAAAGUGGACGUAUACGGUGUGACGCCUGCCCGGUGCCGGAAGGUUAAUUGAUGGGGUCAGCGCAAGCGAAGCUCUUGAUCGAAGCCCCGGUAAACGGCGGCCGUAACUAUAACGGUCCUAAGGUAGCGAAAUUCCUUGUCGGGUAAGUUCCGACCUGCACGAAUGGCGUAAUGAUGGCCAGGCUGUCUCCACCCGAGACUCAGUGAAAUUGAACUCGCUGUGAAGAUGCAGUGUACCCGCGGCAAGACGGAAAGACCCCGUGAACCUUUACUAUAGCUUGACACUGAACAUUGAGCCUUGAUGUGUAGGAUAGGUGGGAGGCUUUGAAGUGUGGACGCCAGUCUGCAUGGAGCCGACCUUGAAAUACCACCCUUUAAUGUUUGAUGUUCUAACGUUGACCCGUAAUCCGGGUUGCGGACAGUGUCUGGUGGGUAGUUUGACUGGGGCGGUCUCCUCCUAAAGAGUAACGGAGGAGCACGAAGGUUGGCUAAUCCUGGUCGGACAUCAGGAGGUUAGUGCAAUGGCAUAAGCCAGCUUGACUGCGAGCGUGACGGCGCGAGCAGGUGCGAAAGCAGGUCAUAGUGAUCCGGUGGUUCUGAAUGGAAGGGCCAUCGCUCAACGGAUAAAAGGUACUCCGGGGAUAACAGGCUGAUACCGCCCAAGAGUUCAUAUCGACGGCGGUGUUUGGCACCUCGAUGUCGGCUCAUCACAUCCUGGGGCUGAAGUAGGUCCCAAGGGUAUGGCUGUUCGCCAUUUAAAGUGGUACGCGAGCUGGGUUUAGAACGUCGUGAGACAGUUCGGUCCCUAUCUGCCGUGGGCGCUGGAGAACUGAGGGGGGCU
RNAcentral lists this ribosomal RNA (1828 nucleotides) under Escherichia coli. Its description in RNAcentral is "partial 23S ribosomal RNA". It matches the Rfam family "Bacterial large subunit ribosomal RNA", at positions 863 to 2673 of the family's 2925-position model. The record is from RNAcentral. Lineage: Bacteria; Pseudomonadati; Pseudomonadota; Gammaproteobacteria; Enterobacterales; Enterobacteriaceae.